GAGAAUCCCUUCCACCGAAUAUCUAAGGUUUCCUGAGGAAGGCUCGUCCGCUCAGGGUUAGUCGGGACCUAAGCCGAGGCCGAUAGGCGUAGGCGAUGGACAACAGGUAGAGAUUCCUGUACCAGUGCUAAUUGUUUAACCGAUGGGGUGACACAGAAGGAUAGGGAAUCGCACGAAUGGAAAUGUGCGUCCAAGCAGUGAGUGUGAGAAGUAGGCAAAUCCGCUUCUCGCGAAGCAUGAGCUGUGAUGGGGAAGGAAAUAAAGUACGGAAGUUCCUGAUUUCACGCUGUCAAGAAAAGCCUCUAGGAAGAGUAGUACUGCCCGUACCGCAAACCGACACAGGUAGAUGAGGAGAGAAUCCUAAGGUGAGCGAGAGAACUCUCGUUAAGGAACUCGGCAAAAUGACCCCGUAACUUCGGGAGAAGGGGUGCUCUAUUAGGGUGCAAGCCCGAGAGAGCCGCAGUGAAUAGGCCCAGGCGACUGUUUAGCAAAAACACAGGUCUCUGCAAAACCGUAAGGUGACGUAUAGGGGCUGACGCCUGCCCGGUGCUGGAAGGUUAAGAGGAGUGCUUAGCUUCGGCGAAGGUACGAAUUGAAGCCCCAGUAAACGGCGGCCGUAACUAUAACGGUCCUAAGGUAGCGAAAUUCCUUGUCGGGUAAGUUCCGACCCGCACGAAAGGCGCAACGAUCUGGGCACUGUCUCAACGAGAGACUCGGUGAAAUUAUAGUACCUGUGAAGAUGCAGGUUACCCGCGACAGGACGGAAAGACCCCGUGGAGCUUUACUGCAACCUGAUAUGGAAUGUUUGUACCGCUUGUACAGGAUAGGUAGGAGCCGAAGAGACGUGUGCGCUAGCAUACGAGGAGGCAAUGGUGGGAUACUACCCUGGCUGUAUGACCAUUCUAACCCGCCACGCUUAGCGCGUGGGGAGACAGUGUCAGGUGGGCAGUUUGACUGGGGCGGUCGCCUCCUAAAGAG
Molecule: ribosomal RNA, 978 nt
Filed under: Listeria welshimeri
Lineage: Bacteria; Bacillati; Bacillota; Bacilli; Caryophanales; Listeriaceae
Description: partial 23S ribosomal RNA
Rfam family: Bacterial large subunit ribosomal RNA
Source: RNAcentral